AAAAAUAGACGUUUCUAAAUCCUUCAAGCUGGGAGCUGCAUGCCACCACCCGGCUCCGGGAGCUGAGACCGAGGGGAGCUGCUGGAGGGUGAGGCCCACAACAGCAGCCAGCCAGGUGGGGGGCAGCCCCAGCGCCCCGUGCACAAACCCAGCAGUACUGCGUUCGUGCAGAGCUCGGGCUGAGCCUGGGAACAAAGUUCUUACACGCUAACAGCGACCGAGGGAAAUAACAACAUCCAAUCUGUGUUCGGAGUGCGCUCCCCGGGCUAAAGGGCACUCCGUUCAUUACUGCGUUACGAUUCCUGUUGCUGCUGGGUGUUGAUCAUUUGUGCUUGGAAAUCUCGUUCAUUUGUAAGGGCAUCUGAAGGCUGGGGAGUUUUGUUGGGUGAUUUCCAGUCCUACUUACACCUCAAGGGGCUGAGGUGCCGCCAUUGAGGUUAACGGUGCGGAAGAAUACAAAAAAAUUUCAUUGAGGAGGAUUAUAAAAGUUACUAGCUGGAACAUUAACAGAAGAGUAACUUGUAAAAAAUGCAAUAUUACAAUAUUCACAAGGACGGUAGAGCGUGGUAAAGCUAUAAAAUUCAACAUUAAAAUCUUCUACAGCCUAGAUAACCUAGUUAACAAACAUGGCAUCGGAACUACUUUCUUUCCCGGGGCCGGGGGCGGCGGACCCCCCCACGGGCCGAGGACGAGGCGAGGGACACGCGGCCCCCGCUCGGGAGCCGACGAACUUUUUGUCAUUAGCAAAGUGCGGGCAGCGAUUUGCCUCGUCCGAAAGCGGGAGCGGGGAGCGCCGGCUCGUUCCGUUUGUCACCGGCACCAAACGCCCGCAUAAAUAACAGCCGGUAUUUAUCGCCGCUCCGACCGAAUUCCGCCAGGCAAAGCGCUGGGAGCGCUUUCAAAAAAAAAAGCCCAAAAACCAAAAACACGGAGGGGAACCGGACAUCGUUAUCACUUUUAUCACCGGUGCUACUAAUGAUGUUCUCCUGCAAACACGUCGGCCUCAGAGAGAAAUAGACGCCGCGCCUCCAAACCGGGCGCGGAUUGCGGGCCGCUGCGGAGCGCCGUACGGCAGCAAAACUUCGUCCUCCUGCGGGAGGGCAGCGCGCCCCGCUCCGUACCGCCGCCUCAACGCCGCCGCAUCCUCCGGGCUCCGCGCUCCGUGUCGGGGCUGUCGAGCGUCGGGAAGCAGAGAGUGUGAAAGGGCCGGGAGAGAGGAGCGGGAGGGAAUCGCUCUGAGCGGCUGCGGUUCCCCGGGGAGUUGGCAGACAGUUUGUGGAGAUGUUACUCCGGAGUUUCAGACUAUGAUAAAUAUGAUAAUUUGUAUAAAAUUUGAAUGGGUUCUUGUUUUCAGGGAGAAUGCCUCCGAUGAUGAAUGUUCGUGAUUUUCAGAUAGAUGGCUGAUAAAAAGUGUAUUGAAUUGUUGAAAGCGAUUUUAAUUUUAAUUCUCUACCUGCAGAUGUCUGAUAAUAAUAAUGUCUCCUAAUAAAAUAGGAAGGUGUCAGUUUAAGCAGCAGUAUUUCGCUUCACUUCAUCCUUCCCAUCCCCAGACUGUGGCAACAUUAACCUCUUCUUAUAAAAAGGCACAUAAAAUUAUUAUAAUUACAGAGUUAUUAAUUUUAAAAAGAGGGUUAGCAGGAUUUUUUAUUAUUAUUAAUAGAGCUCGCACAGUACCCCCGCAAGUAAAUCCCCGUGUGAAAUGAUGGAUCCGAUCGCUAAUUCUAUUAUUAGAUAUUGCCUAGGAAUUGCCUUUCGGGUUUUUAAUUAGAGUAAUUGAAACUAGAUAGAGGCGGGGCUAAUUAUUUUUAUUUUCCCCCUUUGUUAUUAUUUAAAAGUCAUCGAUAACGCUCCCCGCAUUCACAUCUCGGCUUCGGAAGGAGACCCGCAACAAAGCAACAAAGGGAGCGCGGCCGGCACUCCGCAGCCGGCGGUGUGCGGGGGCUGCCCGGGGCUGCAGGAGAGCAC
This 1965-nucleotide long non-coding RNA is filed under the name Gallus gallus (chicken). RNAcentral describes it as "lncRNA (ENSGALG00010023413.1)". The record is from RNAcentral. Lineage: Eukaryota; Metazoa; Chordata; Aves; Galliformes; Phasianidae.